AUACGGAGGGUGCAAGCGUUAAUCGGAAUUACUGGGCGUAAAGGGCGCGUAGGUGGUUUGAUAAGUCAGAUGUGAAAUCCCUGGGCUUAACCUGGGAAUUGCAUUUGAUACUGUCAGACUAGAGUGUGGUAGAGGUAAGCGGAAUUCCCGGUGUAGCGGUGAAAUGCGUAGAUAUCGGGAAGAACAUCAGUGGCGAAGGCGGCUUACUGGAUCAACACUGACACUGAGGCGCGAAAGCGUGGGUAGCAAACAGGAUUAGAUACCCCUGUAGUCC
This 274-nucleotide ribosomal RNA is filed under the name uncultured bacterium. RNAcentral's name for it is "partial 16S ribosomal RNA". It matches the Rfam family "Bacterial small subunit ribosomal RNA", at positions 523 to 796 of the family's 1533-position model. The record is from RNAcentral.